Molecule: long non-coding RNA, 469 nt
Filed under: Mytilus galloprovincialis (Mediterranean mussel)
Lineage: Eukaryota; Metazoa; Mollusca; Bivalvia; Mytilida; Mytilidae
Source: RNAcentral
AAAUUAAAUCUAAUGGCAAUAUAGUUGAACCUGUGAAUUAUGCUAUAUAUUCAUGAUCUUUGGUUACAUCUUCUGACAUUUGACUCAGACUUCUCUUGAACUGAAUAUUAAUGUGCGUAUUGUUAUGCGUUUACUUUUCUGCAUUGGCUACAGUUUCUUGUGUACAAUUUGGUGUUUAGUUUGGCUGUUCAUUAUCACUGAACUAGUAUAUAUAUAUUUUUUUAGGGGCCAGCUGAAGGACGCCUCAGGGUGCGGGAAUUUCUCGCUGCAUUGGAGACCUGUUGGUGACCUUCUGCUGUUGUCUUUUCUAUGGUCGGGUUGUUGUCUCUUUGGCACAUUCCCUAUUUCCAUUCUCAAUUUUAUGAUCAAUGAACUAUGACUAACAGUGCCAAAAAAUCUUGUCAAAAUGAGAAAGAAAUCAAUGACUGAUCAUAAUUUAGUCCCCUUAAACUGACCUAAACACAAAUUU